Molecule: ribosomal RNA, 394 nt
Filed under: uncultured bacterium
Lineage: Bacteria
Description: bacterial SSU rRNA
Rfam family: Bacterial small subunit ribosomal RNA
Source: RNAcentral
UGGGGAAUAUUGGACAAUGGGCGAAAGCCUGAUCCAGCAAUGCCGCGUGAGUGAUGAAGGCCCUAGGGUUGUAAAGCUCUUUUACCCGGGAUGAUAAUGACAGUACCGGGAGAAUAAGCUCCGGCUAACUUCGUGCCAGCAGCCGCGGUAAUACGAGGGGAGCUAGCGUUGUUCGGAAUUACUGGGCGUAAAGCGCGCGUAGGCGGUUUUUUAAGUCAGAGGUGAAAGCCCGGGGCUCAACCCCGGAAUUGCCUUUGAAACUGGAAAACUAGAAUCUUGGAGAGNUCAGUGGAAUUCCGAGUGUAGAGGUGAAAGUCGUAGAUAUUCGGAAGAACACCAGUGGCGAAGGCGACUGACUGGACAAGUAUUGACGCUGAGGUGCGAAAGCGUGGGG